This 82-nucleotide transfer RNA is filed under the name Rhipicephalus microplus (southern cattle tick). RNAcentral describes it as "tRNA-Ser". It matches the Rfam family "tRNA". From Rfam's summary of the family: Transfer RNA (tRNA) molecules are approximately 80 nucleotides in length. Their secondary structure includes four short double-helical elements and three loops (D, anti-codon, and T loops). Lineage: Eukaryota; Metazoa; Arthropoda; Arachnida; Ixodida; Ixodidae. The record is from Rfam by way of RNAcentral.
GCAGUCGUGGCCGAGUGGUUAAGGCGAUGGUCUCGAAAAUCAUUGGGGUUUCCCCACGCGGGUUCAAAUCCCGCCGACUGCG